GACGAACGCUGGCGGCGUGCCUAACACAUGCAAGUCGAGCGGGGUUGAGGCGAGAGGUAACUCGAGCUUCUACCUAGCGGCGGACGGGUGAGUAACGCGUGGGCAACCUGCCUCAAGGUUUGGGAUAACAGCCCGAAAGGGCUGCUAAUACCGGAUAUGCCUAUGGCCUCGCAUGGGGCUAUGAGCAAAGGGGAAACCCGCCUUGAGAUGGGCCCGCGUCCCAUCAGCUAGUUGGUGAGGUAACAGCUCACCAAGGCGACGACGGGUAGCCGGCCUGAGAGGGUGACCGGCCACACUGGGACUGAGACACGGCCCAGACUCCUACGGGAGGCAGCAGCUAAGAAUCUUCCGCAAUGGGGGCAACCCUGACGGAGCGACGCCGCGUGAACGAGGAAGGCCGAAAGGUUGUAAAGUUCUUUCUUGGGAAGAAUAAGGGAAGAGGGAAUGCUUCUCUGAUGACGGUAACCGAGGAAAAAGCCCCGGACCAAUUACGUGCCAGCAGCCGCGGUAAUACGUCUA
RNAcentral lists this ribosomal RNA (519 nucleotides) under uncultured bacterium. RNAcentral describes it as "bacterial SSU rRNA". It matches the Rfam family "Bacterial small subunit ribosomal RNA", at positions 28 to 531 of the family's 1533-position model. The record is from RNAcentral.